Teleopsis dalmanni is the source of this 776-nucleotide long non-coding RNA. RefSeq lists it as uncharacterized. The transcript is spliced from 3 exons. Lineage: Eukaryota; Metazoa; Arthropoda; Insecta; Diptera; Diopsidae. The record is from RefSeq and is a predicted model, not a curated record.
GAGCAGUUGUGUCUUGUAGAAGAGUGCGAACGAACCUCAGAAGCUCAGUGAAAAACAGAUAGAAAAGUGUUCCUCAGCUCUAUAAAAAGUUCACCUUUAGCAAAAAAGUAAAAAUAUAUAAACAAGUAUAGAACGUAAAAGUAAAAAAAAAGUUGAAAUAAAUAAAAGAGACUUCAACACUUCAGUCAAGACUAAAGUUAUAAGCCACCAGGCGCUGGAAGUACUAUUUACUGUACUGUAAAUAGUUGUGAGCCGAGAUAAUAACGGCAAGAACAAUAUAACCAAAGCGGCAGGAGUAGAAACAUUUUAAUUUUUUUCCAACUAUUCCUUUCCACUUUCUCCGAAUCUAUCUUGUUACUCUACUAUCCUGAAGAGUUUUUACUCACGUACUUAACUCCUUGCUAAACUGUGCUUGAACACAUUAUUUUCUCAUAUUUCAAAAACAACUUUAUAAGCUAAGUAAUAAGGUUAUGCUUAACAGAGGUCAACCUGAGGAUUGGUAAGUUAGUUUAUUGUUUCCAAGUAUUAAAUAAUAAAAUUGUUAGAAACAUUUAUAUACAAUUAUAAUGUUUGUCUUCUUUCACAAAUAACCACGUUCCUGAGGAUUGCAAUUAACGCGAAUCAACGUUCAGCUGAUUUUUCUUGGUAUUAUUUUAUUUAUUUGAUUAAAUUCAAAUACAUACAUGACUUUUUUUGUAUAAAAUAUAGCAUAUUUAACUAUACUACAUAUCACAUUGGUUAACGUAUUAUACAUUAUUUCUAAUAUUUGAAAUAAA